ACACUCCUGCGGGAGGCAGCAGUGGGGAAUUUUGGACAAUGGGCGAAAGCCUGAUCCAGCCAUGCCGCGUGCAGGAUGAAGGCCUUCGGGUUGUAAACUGCUUUUGUACGGAACGAAACGGCCUUUUCUAAUAAAGAGGGCUAAUGACGGUACCGUAAGAAUAAGCACCGGCUAACUACGUGCCAGCAGCCGCGGUAAUACGUAGGGUGCAAGCGUUAAUCGGAAUUACUGGGCGUAAAGCGUGCGCAGGCGGUUAUGUAAGACAGUUGUGAAAUCCCCGGGCUCAACCUGGGAACUGCAUCUGUGACUGCAUAGCUAGAGUACGGUAGAGGGGGAUGGAAUUCCGCGUGUAGCAGUGAAAUGCGUAGAUAUGCGGAGGAACACCGAUGGCGAAGGCAAUCCCCUGGACCUGUACUGACGCUCAUGCACGAAAGCGUGGGGAGCAAACAGGAUUAGAUACCCCGGUAGUCCCAU
RNAcentral lists this ribosomal RNA (474 nucleotides) under uncultured organism. RNAcentral's name for it is "partial 16S ribosomal RNA". It matches the Rfam family "Bacterial small subunit ribosomal RNA", at positions 333 to 798 of the family's 1533-position model. The record is from RNAcentral.